Malaclemys terrapin pileata is the source of this 1279-nucleotide long non-coding RNA. RefSeq lists it as uncharacterized. NCBI's taxonomy places the organism in Eukaryota, Metazoa, Chordata, Testudines, Emydidae. The record is from RefSeq and is a predicted model, not a curated record. The transcript is spliced from 3 exons.
GUCUCACACUAGGAAAAAGUUUCAAUAACAUGGUUUCAUAGAAUGUUCCUCUCCGGGGGCUGAAUGCAGCUACUGCUCCAUGCAGAAAAAAAUAUCUGUCCUUUGGGUGAGGGCAGAAGGAGGGUGUCUGCUUUCAUUGCAUGCUGCUUUUCAGAUGCAGCAUUUUCACCGUUGGUCCUGCAGGUUACCUUCAAAAUAACUCCUGGGGUAAAGACAAGUUUCAGUGAUUAGUGAAGGUGAUUUUCAGUCGGUGAAGAAGUUGGUAUGGGAGGCAGGAUUUACAGUCACCUACCUACUGAAGUGACUGACACAUGCAGGAUUUCAGAAGCAAGCAGGUGGGGAACUGACUGAAGGAUUUUUCCAAACAAGUGGAAUUUAGAAGAUUUUUCCCAAACCCUCCAAAGACAAACCAAAGAGGGAGAAGAGCUGGUACUUUCUUUAUAGGCUUUUGACCUCCCAAAGGACAUAUGUCACCCUCUCAAGAAUCUGUGCAUUCAUCAGGUUGUUCUUUUGAUCACAUCAUUCAACCCUAAUUUUCUUUCCGUGUUUGGAUUGUGUCAUUGCAUUUCAGACCCACCAAACAAUCCAAUGCCAGUGCAAUGUCCUUAAACUAAAUCUGUCAUCAGAACAGGGAGGAGGGCAUGGUGCUGAUAAAAAAUACAUACAGGAAAGAUUUUCACCCUAAAGUUAGGCACCUAAAUCCAUAUAUAGGUACUUAAAUAAGUGGUUUGGUUUUCCACACCUCUGUGGAAAUUAGCUGCUAAGUGCUCAGCACUUUUGAAAACCUGGCCACUUCUUUAGGUGCCUAAAUAUGGAUUUAUGAGGCUAACUUUAGACACCCCAGUUUGGAAAUCUUGGCCAUAUACCUUUACAUCUCAUCCAAUGUAAAACUUUCAGUAGAUGGGAAAGAAAGUUGUAGUUUUCAGAACGAUCCUUCCCCAUUUGUUUAAAAACAAAACCAUACCCAUGGUGGUCAAAUGGGGCUGUUAGCAGCCCAGAGAGAAGAACUGACUUCCCUUCCCCCAACUUGCCACCAGCACCUCCUUUGAGUAGACAAAAGAAACCUAGAGAGGGUGAGAGGGCUAAUCUCUCUGAGAAAAACAAGUGAUUUUCCAGUAAACAACUGCAACAGCAAACAAAGAGGGUGAACAAUAAUGAUAAUCAAAAACUAUAUUGUAAGGAAGAGAUGACCCCAUCAUGUGAGGUGUCUCACCGGCUCAGUGAAAACAACCAGCAUUUUGGGUGAGCCUUCAUCAACAACAUCACCACGGACAACAAA